Molecule: long non-coding RNA, 1167 nt
Organism: Dreissena polymorpha
Lineage: Eukaryota; Metazoa; Mollusca; Bivalvia; Myida; Dreissenidae
Exons: 3
Source: RefSeq, a predicted model, not a curated record
UAAAACAUUGACACAGUAAACAUCGCGGGAAUAUUACGUUUGUUUAUUUCCGAGGAACGAACACAAAACUCCAUUCUGCGUGGAAUGUUCGAGCGAUGAAAAAGAGGCCCUUGACGUACCGUACUGAUGAUGUUCACAAUCAGCGUCUCUCUGACGGUGAACACGGAGUCGCCGCACGUGUUCUCGGCGUUCACGGCUCCGGAACUUUUGAAAUCGAAUCCGCCCGGAUUAUGGGCGUACACCAGGUACUCUGCAUGGAGAUGCAAACACUGCUUAAUUGGUCGUUGUCGGCUCAUGUCCUACUUAAAAGUACCCCGGAUUUGACAGAUGACAUCAAGCAGAUACGACGUCAUCAGAAUCUUUAAGGCUGAAUGAGUUUAGCUCCAGAGCGGAAACGGAAGUGUCUUCUAGGAACUGAUAUGACGUCAUAGGAAACGACGUUAGAACUGGAUCCUACGAGGAAAUGGAUUUUAAAAUAAAUUUCAUUUACAAUUGCAAAAUGGUUUAUAACCGUGUAUUGCUUUCCCCGAGAUUAAAUAAAGAGACCUCUGGAAGCAAAAGAUGAAGCGUUACCACUUUGUUAGGCUUGCUGAAGAAAAUAUGAGAAGAAAAACGCUUUUUUGAUAAGUUUUUGCGCAUUCUCGAGAAAAAAAAGCGUUACAAAAUCUGUCAUUAUUUUUCCGAUUACGCGUGAUGAAUAGCCAUAAAUGAAACAAUAUCUCCUUUAAACAUAUAGUAAAAAUUCUUCUUAGAAUCUAUAACAAUUAUUUUAAAAACCGUCAUUUAACCAAACUUUGAAUGAAAAAGUCAUUUUAAGGUCAACCACGAUUCCGGUAUCCUACAGACGUACCUCAUCAACGAUAUUGACGUUGAAAGUCCCGGUGAUGACGUUGACGGGGUUGCCGUCAGUACACCGUAUCGUUAACGUCAACGGCACGGCCUGGUCGUUGAAGUCGAUGGCAGCUUCAGUCACGGUGCUAGAGAUCCUGACUUCAAAUUCUAGGAAUUAAACAGCACAAAAAAUCAUUUGCUUGUGCGCAUAACGAGAGUAUUUCAUCGAAAAAAGAGACAUUAAAAAAAUUACAAAUAAUCACACUUGUCACACAUACUUUCAAUAGCUUAUGAAAAACGAAGAUUUUCAAAGAUCGAAGCGUUUACUUGUUUCAA